CCAAAACCCUUUUCAAUUGUUUUCUCUUUCAUACUCGAGUCUCUCCAUCAUUCAGAAUAAAUCUCCUUCCUCUCUCUCCAAGCCAAAAUGGUGAUGCUCCACUUUCCUUCUCUGGCGAACUGCUCUCCUUUCCCGUUUCGAUUCAUCUCCUUCUGCUUCGAUUCCAGUCCGAUUCAUCUCCUUUGAUGGUCUUCCUCCUCCGUUCAUCUUCUUCGGCGUGUCCGCGAUUCUGAUUGGCUCCCGGUUUCAUUUUGCAUGUGUUUUUUAUGUGUUGUGCGAUGAACACGGUUUGAUGAUGUUGCUGAGCGGUUUCAUUCACGUUUGAAGUUGUGGUGUUCGGUUUUGAACGUUUGGUGAUGAAUGUUGAGUUGAAACAACUCUGAAUCGGAAAAGCUGGAGAUUCAUCCAAGCUGCACAAUCUUCUUACAAGAUACUUAACAUGGACUAUACUUGAUAUUGGAACUCUAAACUUUUCGCUCUCAUUGCUAAAUCGAUUUCAACAUCACCAUAUCUGUCAAAUUUUUCAUGCUUUAAGUUUUCAAAAUUCAUCGUUUUUUGGUUUACAGUGCACUGAAACGUGAACUGAAGAACAAGCAGAAAGAAGAGAUUUUGAAGAAAAUGGAAGACAAGAAAUCCAGAAAGUUUCUGUUUCGCCUUCUCCUCCUACUGUACAGUUUAUAGUGCAAGUUCAAUGGCAAAAAAGCAUGGUGAUUAAUGGAACAAGCAAAUUGAUUAAUGGAACAAGCAAAUGAGAAUGAAGUUAAGAGAAACCAAAGAUACAUGAAGAUGAUGCCGACGCGGAUUCAUGAUGGAAUUCGUUUUGUCAUUGAAUUUCUAUAGGUUUCGGCUUCUGUUUGUUCUGGUUUUUGUCUAAGUUUUUUAAUAUAUGUAAUUUGGCGUUUGUCAUCGAGACAUCAAACCACAUAACCUACUGGUCAAUCAACAGACACAUCAGUCGAAGAUAUGUGAUUUUGGGAGUGCAAAGAUAUUGGAGGAGAUGAAGCGCUUUGUUUCAAAAGUGGUGGAUCUUAUGAGAGAGGAAAAGUUGUUUUCUUGGCAAGGAGGACCUAUAAUUUUGUUGCAGUAUCAUGGUGGAACAAAUUUUGGCCGCACUGCUGGGGGACCCUUGCAAAUUACAAGUUAUGAUUAUGAUGCUCCAAUCGAUGAGUAUGGUUUGCUGAAUGAGCCAAAAUGGGGUCACUUGAAAGAUCUACAUGCUGCUUUAAAGCUCUGUGAGCCCGCUUUAGUGGCUGCUGACUCACCAACAUAUAUAAAACUUGGUCCAAAGCAGGAGGCACAUGUAUACCAAGCAGAUGUCCACACUGAAGGAUUAAACUUGUCUCUGUCCCAAAUCUCUAGCAAAUGCUCAGCUUUCCUUGCCAACAUUGAUGAACAUAAAGCAGCAGCUGUGACCUUUCACGGUCAAACAUACAUUAUACCACCAUGGUCUGUGAGCAUAUUUGCCAAAUUGCAGGAAUGUGGCUUUCAAUACUGCUAAGGUUGGAGCACAAACUUCAGUCAAAUUUGUAGGGUCUGAUUUGCUUCCAUCUGCAUCUAUUUUUUUGCCAGCCCAACAAUUGGCACACCCCAAUGGCAUCUCCAACAUCUCAAAGUCAUGGAUGACUACGAAAGAGCCAAUAAAUAUAUGGAGUAAGAGCAGUUUCACUGCAGAAGAUAUAUGGGAGCACUUAAAUGUAACAAAAGACCAAUCUGACUAUCUUUGGUAUUCAACCAGAAUAUAUGUUUCAGCUGGUGAUAUCUUGUUUUGGAAGGAAAAUUCUGCUCAUCCAAAACUUACUAUAGACAGUGUUCGUGAUAUACUGCGUGUAUUUGUCAAUGGGCAACUUAUAGGUCAUUAAAUAUCAUGGUACUGAACAUAUGUUUUAUAUGAAGAUGAGUAUUUUUUUAUUCCUUAAAUUAAUGGAAGUUCUAUUCUGAAUAAUGCACUUUGUUGUGUAGUUUCCCUUGCAAGACUCUUUAUUGAAUCUAGAGAAGAAAGAAAAUGAAAAAUAAUUUUAUUCUUGUAAAAAUUUGAGCUUGAGUCUGAUAUUGAUUGAUUCAUAUACUGAAAACUGUACUAUCGAUACUGAAUAACUCAAUGGGAAGAUAACAUUCUCAACAAAGGAUGCUUUCAUUAUUUUAUGGACUUUGGCAGUACAUGUUCAACAAGUUAGAGCUUCAUGUACUCAUUUUAGGGAUUGACAAGGCUGACAAAACGAUUUUGCUUGAGAAGAUGAAGUCGGUGUACACGAAUGUAGAAGGUCUUCCUCCGGAACAAAUUGUGGAAAGCAAUUGCUUCUCCAGGGCGUGGUAUUUUGGCCAUGGAUGAAUCCAAUGCUACAUGUGGAAAGCGGUUGGAUUCAAUUGGACUAGAGAACACCAAAGCUAACCGUCAAGCAUGGCGUAAAAUUAUAUAUGAAGAAAGUGUUAUGAGUUGGUUAAAAUAUAAUUUUUAUGUGUAUGAUUUUAUAGUACUUGAAAUAUUAUGAAUGCACAUGAUAUUGUAUACUUUUUGGUUAAUAUUAAAAAUAUUUUGAGUUAGUUAAAAUAUGAUUUUAUAGUAUUUGCAAUAUUAUGAGUGAAAAUGAAAUAUAACUAAAUGGUGUAUAUGAAAUAGG
This is a long non-coding RNA of Vicia villosa (hairy vetch), 2618 nucleotides long. RefSeq lists it as uncharacterized. The record is from RefSeq and is a predicted model, not a curated record. Lineage: Eukaryota; Viridiplantae; Streptophyta; Magnoliopsida; Fabales; Fabaceae. The transcript has 14 exons.